GAUCCAUGACCUGCCUUAGAGGUUCCUCCAGAAUUGCCUCCAGCAGACUUGGUGCUGGAGGGAGACCUGUUUCCUGAGUCGCAGAUGACACCCUCUUGGUGCCUCACCUGGUGAACAGGGCAAGCCAGCGCCCUAACUCAACUUUCUUCAGGCUCCUGCAGCAUGUGAUGUCCUCAGCAUCUGGCUCCUGCAAUCAGUAGCUCCUCCAUUGUUCAGGUCCUGUAUCAUACAGAGUGCAAGAGGACCCAGAACCAACACCUUGUUCAGGCACACACUCAGAUGAUGAUGGGGAGUGGAGCAGGUGAAGGUGAUUCACUGCCUUCAACCAACUUCAAAGCACUUCUCCCUAGAGCAGAGAGGGGCAGAAUUUCAGCAAUUGCCAUAGGUACAGAAUACCAGCUAUGUCCAUGUCAACUGGUAAAUCAUGUCCAUGAUGUCUCAUCUGAGACCUUGGUUUCAUCCAUAGAUGAAACCAUGAUUUUCUUUUUCUUGGAUAAUGUAUUGUUUUUCUAUUGUUUUGUUAUAAAAUUACCACAAAUUGAGCAACUUAAAACAACAGCAUUUAUUAUCUCACAGUUUCCAUGGGUCCGAAGUCUGGGAAUGGUUUACCUGGGUCCUUCACUUAGUGUCUCACAAGGUUACAACUGAUAUGUUGGGCAGGUUGUAAUUCUUUCUGUAGCUCAAGUCCCUCUUCCAAGCUCUUGCAGUUGCUCAUUGGAACAAAUUAAUAUUCCUGUGAGCCUAUACUCUUAUUAUUAAUGUUAAUCUUCUCCAAUUUCUUUUUAAUAAAAGAAUUGCUAGACAACUUAGGAAAGAGUUGUGCUUCCUAAUCUCAGUUAAAUAUUUUGCAAUAGAGUGAUGUAUCCUUAAGUACCACAUAUAAAUAAGACAUGUUUCCUCAUAGUGGUAUUAAAAUGGCUGUAUGUGAUAGUUUAAAU
Ictidomys tridecemlineatus (thirteen-lined ground squirrel) is the source of this 938-nucleotide non-coding RNA. The record is from RefSeq and is a predicted model, not a curated record. NCBI's taxonomy places the organism in Eukaryota, Metazoa, Chordata, Mammalia, Rodentia, Sciuridae.